This is a long non-coding RNA of Astyanax mexicanus (Mexican tetra), 417 nucleotides long. RefSeq lists it as uncharacterized. Lineage: Eukaryota; Metazoa; Chordata; Actinopteri; Characiformes; Acestrorhamphidae. The transcript is spliced from 4 exons. The record is from RefSeq and is a predicted model, not a curated record.
UUUGGAGGUGUGUAGUGAUGAUCUAAUCUGAAGCUCCAUGAAGUUUGGAGGUGUGUAGUGAUGAUCUAAUCUGAAGCUCCAUGAAGUUUGGAGGUGUGUAGUGAUGAACUCUAAAGCUACAUGAAGUUUGGAGGUGUGUAGUGAUGUAGUAACUCUGAAGCUACAUGAAGUUUGGAGGUGUGUAGUGAUGAUCUAAUCUGAAGCUACAUGAAGUUUGGAGGUGUGUAGUGAUGAUCUAAUCUGAAGCUACAUGAAGUUUGGAGGUGUGUAGUGAUGAACUCUGAAGCUACAUGAAGUUUGGAGGUGUGUAGUGAUGUAGUAACUCUGAAGCUACAUGAAGUUUGGAGGUGUGUAGUGAUGAUCUAAUCUGAAGCUACAUGAAGUUUGGAGGUGUGUAGUGAUGAACUCUAAAGCUAC